RNAcentral lists this ribosomal RNA (313 nucleotides) under Clostridioides difficile. RNAcentral's name for it is "partial 23S ribosomal RNA". It matches the Rfam family "Bacterial large subunit ribosomal RNA", at positions 325 to 640 of the family's 2925-position model. The record is from RNAcentral. Lineage: Bacteria; Bacillati; Bacillota; Clostridia; Peptostreptococcales; Peptostreptococcaceae.
UAUCGUAAUUGAAGAGGUUUGGAAAGACCCACCACAGAAGGUAAUAGUCCUGUAUGUUAAACGAGAAGACUUUAGAUAUGAUCCAGAGUACCACGGGACACGUGAAACCCUGUGGGAAGCAGGAGGGACCACCCUCCAAGGCUAAAUACUACCUAGUGACCGAUAGCGUAUAGUACCGUGAGGGAAAGGUGAAAAGAACCCCGGGAGGGGAGUGAAAUAGAACCUGAAACCCUGCACUUACAAGCUGUGGAAGCACAUUUCUUGUGUGACCGCGUACUUUUUGUAGAACGGGCCAACGAGUUACGUUAAGUAG